This is a long non-coding RNA of Hyla sarda, 545 nucleotides long. RefSeq lists it as uncharacterized. NCBI's taxonomy places the organism in Eukaryota, Metazoa, Chordata, Amphibia, Anura, Hylidae. The transcript is spliced from 3 exons. The record is from RefSeq and is a predicted model, not a curated record.
AAGGCAAAAGCAAGGUCAGGGAACCGGCAAAUUGCCAGAAUCCUAGGAAAGCUUAGUAGUAAAAUCACUAGUUACGGCUGUAGAAUGACCAAUGACCGGUUUAAAUAUCCCUCCGGCAGGGUUCCCAUCUCCAAAUUGGCUACCCAGGCCUGCAACACAGUGAUGCCUGGCUUUCUGCCAAAUAGAGCCGGAUAUAAUAAUGACAUCUUGAUGCUCCCGGCAGCAACCUGCAGAGACAUGGUGCAGGAGCCAGGCAAACAUAAUCACAAGGGAACCUAAAAGAAGUGGCUGUCCAAAUGCUAUAGACUGCUCCAAGGAAAACUUGCAGGAAGCCUUCCAUUUUGUUUGAAUGUGAUUCCUGAGAUAUUCUACUGUGAUAUGUUAUUAGUACAUAGAAAAAGAAGUUCUUUCAUACCCAAAGCACAACAUUUCCAGUCUAACCUGCUUGGAUUUGUGAAUUCCUUCAUGCGUGGCAUAUAUCUACAAAAUCCACAUCGCCCACAUGGAUGUGAGCCUUUCAAUGAUGACUGCAACCAUGUACUUUG